RNAcentral lists this ribosomal RNA (1592 nucleotides) under Orbilia asomatica. RNAcentral describes it as "eukaryotic LSU rRNA". The stretch from base 674 to 1592 matches the Rfam family "Eukaryotic large subunit ribosomal RNA", at positions 1 to 939 of the family's 3401-position model. The record is from RNAcentral. Lineage: Eukaryota; Fungi; Ascomycota; Orbiliomycetes; Orbiliales; Orbiliaceae.
GAUUGAAUGGCUCAGUGAGGCCUUCGGACUGGCUCUCGGCGGUCGGCAACGACCGCCUCGAGCCGGAAAGUUGGUCAAACUUGGUCAUUUAGAGGAAGUAAAAGUCGUAACAAGGUUUCCGUAGGUGAACCUGCGGAAGGAUCAUUACCAAAUCAUGCGAACCCUGCUUAGGCUGGGAACGCUUCAACCCUUUGUGAACCAAAAAAACUUUUUCGCUUCGGUUAGCUGGGGAGCUCUGUUGGGGUUAACACUUUGACCUGCUCUCCGUAAGCCUGCCGACGGCACAACUUAAACUUGCAUUUAAACUAAUGUCUGAACACCAAAUUUUCGAAUGAAAAUUAAAACUUUCAACAACGGAUCUCUUGGUUCUCGCAUCGAUGAAGAACGCAGCGAAACGCGAUAGUUAAUGUGAAUUGCAGAAUUCAGUGAAUCAUCGAGUCUUUGAACGCACAUUGCGCCCAUUGGUAUUCCAUUGGGCAUGUCUGUUUGAGCGUCAUUACAACCCCUCAGCGCAAGCUGGUAUUGAGCCUGGUUCCGGAAACGGGCCCAGGUUUUAAAGUUGUAAGCUCUGCUGGCUGCUACGCCCGAACGAAAAACAUAGUAAAAUUUACAUUGUUUAUAUAAUUAAGGUGUGCAGGUUGGCCUGAACAAAACCUACCAAACUUCUAAGGUUUGACCUCAGAUCAGACAAGGAUACCCGCUGAACUUAAGCAUAUCAAUAAGCGGAGGAAAAGAAACCAACAGGGAUUGCCUCAGUAACGGCGAGUGAAGCGGCAAAAGCUCAAAUUUGAAAUCUGGAGUUUUUAACUUCCGAGUUGUAAUUUGAAGAGGAUGUUUCGGUUGCGGCUUGGGCCCAAGUUCCUUGGAACAGGACGUCAUGGAGGGUGAGAAUCCCGUACGUGGCUACCGGCUUGCUUCUAUGUGAAACUCCUUCGAAGAGUCGAGUUGUUUGGGAAUGCAGCUCAAAAUGGGUGGUAAAUUUCAUCUAAAGCUAAAUAUUGGCGAGAGACCGAUAGCGCACAAGUAGAGUGAUCGAAAGAUGAAAAGCACUUUGAAAAGAGAGUUAAACAGUACGUGAAAUUGUUGAAAGGGAAGCGCUUGCAAUCAGACUCACUUUCAGUUGAUCAACGUUCCUUCUGGUUCGUGCACUCUGCUGUUUGUGGGCCAGCAUCAGUUAAAGCGGCAGGACAAAGGUUUUGGGAAUGUGGCUCCCCUCGGGGAGUGUUAUAGCCCAUUUCGUAAUGCUGCCAGCUUUGAUUGAGGUCCGCGAUUCGUCUAGGAUGCUGGCUUAAUGGUUGUAAGCGGCCCGUCUUGAAACACGGACCAAGGAGUCUAACAUCUAUGCGAGUCUUUGGGUGUCAAACCCAUGGGCGAAAUGAAAGUGAACGGAGGUGGGAGUCUUCGGAUGCACCAUCGACCGAUCCUGAUGUUCUCGGAUGGAUUUGAGUAGGAGCAUAGCUGUUGGGACCCGAAAGAUGGUGAACUAUGCCUGAAUAGGGUGAAGCCAGAGGAAACUCUGGUGGAGGCUCGCAGCGGUUCUGACGUGCAAAUCGAUCGUCAAAUUUGGGUAUAGGGGCGAAAGACUAAUCGAA